UGCCACCUGCCCGCCCUGUCUCCGGGGCCGUGUGGAGGCCAGGACCGGCUGGCACGGGGCGGGCGUCCUCAGAGGAUCGCGGGCGCACAGGGUACACGGUAGAGGGGCUGGCUUUCCCGCCAGAUAAGAGCGCCGGAACCGGCCAGGCGCAGGACGCCCGCGGCGCUUCCGCUCAACUCAGAGAGCUUUCUCCUGGCGACGGUCCCCUUCAGAGUCCCCUGAACAACCCCGCCCGGCCGCAUCCCUUGCAAACUUGUUCCCAGGAGUCCCUUUCUGCCCCCGCCGGGGAAGGCCCAGCUCAGCCCCGGCCUGAUGCCACAGCCGAGCUGACACUCAAGGCCCCCAGCUCCCCCAGCCCCGCUGAGCGGGAGGGGCCCGGGUGGGGGACAGAGCAAAGAUGCUCUGAAGAGGGGGAUGAACUCGACUUGCAGUAGACUCCAAGGCAAGAGAAAAAUCAGAGAAACAUUUGAGCGUAGAAAGAGUCCACCCUGGGUUCAAAUCCCAGCUCUGGUAUUGACGAUAUUUCCGUUUCCUCCUCCAUAAAAUUUAGGGGACAAUAAGAGAAAGAAAACAGCUGUGCCUACCUACUCCAGAUCCUGGCACACAAGAAACAAGAAAAUAAAAGCAUGUCAAGAUUUCCCUCCAGAAAGCUGAAAUCCAGGCACCCAUACCUCCCACCCCAUUAUCCUACCACAGUCAGAAUCUGUGGAGACACUGGUUACAUGGUGAGCAGGAAUAGCUCAGCACUGAAAGUGGGAAACUGCUGUCCCAACCCCUACCAGUUUCUCUGCAGAUGUGCUGUGUGACCCAGGACAAGAUGCUUUGCCCUCCAAGCUGGUGAAAACGAAGAUGAUGCUCCCUUCAUCUUAGGCUGAAAUAGAACACCAACAGAGAUGUGGCGAGAUGAUGAUCAUCCUUCCAAAUUUUCUAUUAGACUGGGUUAGCUACAUUUAAAAAUAAGAACAAACCAAAAAUAAUCCUCAGAAAAGCUUCAUGAAGUUCAAAAGCGCCAUUGCUCAUGUUGCCUCCAAAGGGGCAAGAAUUUUGCCAUUGCCACCCCUGUAUUCCCCUCCUAAAACAGAACCUGGCAUAUAGUAGGUGCUCAAUAAAUACUGGUUGAAUUGA
Molecule: non-coding RNA, 1125 nt
Organism: Macaca mulatta (Rhesus monkey)
Lineage: Eukaryota; Metazoa; Chordata; Mammalia; Primates; Cercopithecidae
Source: RefSeq, a predicted model, not a curated record